GACAGAGGGUGCAAACGUUGUUCGGAAUUACUGGGCGUAAAGAGCGUGUAGGCGGCCAAGCAGGUCCGCUGUGAAAACUCGAGGCUCAACCUCGAGACGUCGGUGGAAACCGUUUGGCUAGAGUCCGGAAGAGGAGAGUGGAAUUCCCGGUGUAGCGGUGAAAUGCGCAGAUAUCGGGAAGAACACCCGUGGCGAAGGCGGCUCUCUGGGACGGUACUGACGCUGAGACGCGAAAGCGUGGGGAGCGAACAGG
RNAcentral lists this ribosomal RNA (253 nucleotides) under uncultured bacterium. RNAcentral describes it as "partial 16S ribosomal RNA". It matches the Rfam family "Bacterial small subunit ribosomal RNA", at positions 524 to 776 of the family's 1533-position model. The record is from RNAcentral.